Molecule: ribosomal RNA, 439 nt
Filed under: uncultured bacterium
Lineage: Bacteria
Description: partial 16S ribosomal RNA
Rfam family: Bacterial small subunit ribosomal RNA
Source: RNAcentral
CUACGGGUUGCUCCAGUGAAGAAUAUUGCACAAUGGGGGGAACCCUGAUGCAGCAACGCCGCGUGGAGGAUGACGCAUUUCGGUGUGUAAACUCCUUUUAUAUGUCAAGAAAAUGACGGUAGCAUAUGAAUAAGCACCGGCUAACUCCGUGCCAGCAGCCGCGGUAAUACGGAGGGUGCAAGCGUUACUCGGAAUCACUGGGCGUAAAGGACGCGUAGGCGGGUUGGAAAGUCAGGUGUGAAAUCCUACAGCUUAACUGUAGAACUGCACUUGAAACUUCUAAUCUAGAGUAUGGGAGGGGGAGAUGGAAUUAGUGGUGUAGGGGUAAUAUCCGUAGAUAUCACUAGGAAUACCUAAAGCGAAGGCGAUCUCCUGGAACAUUACUGACGCUAAGGCGUGAAAGCGUGGGGAGCAAACAGGAUUAGAUACCCCGGUAGUC